This 494-nucleotide ribosomal RNA is filed under the name uncultured bacterium. RNAcentral describes it as "partial 16S ribosomal RNA". It matches the Rfam family "Bacterial small subunit ribosomal RNA", at positions 28 to 507 of the family's 1533-position model. The record is from RNAcentral.
GACGAACGCUGGCGGCGUGCUUAACACAUGCAAGUCGAACGGUGAAGCGCCUUCCUUUUUGGUGGGUGUGGAUGAGUGGCGAACGGGUGAGUAACACGUGAGUAACCUGCCCCCUUCUUCUGGAUAACCGCAUGAAAGUGUGGCUAAUACGGGAUAUUCUGGGUCUGUCGCAUGAUGGGUCUGGGAAAGAUAUUGUUUCGGUGGGGGAUGGGCUCGCGGCCUAUCAGCUUGUUGGUGGGGUGAUGGCCUACCAAGGCGGUGACGGGUAGCCGGCCUGAGAGGGUGGACGGUCACACUGGGACUGAGACACGGCCCAGACUCCUACGGGAGGCAGCAGUGGGGAAUAUUGCACAAUGGGCGCAAGCCUGAUGCAGCGACGCCGCGUGAGGGAUGGAGGCCUUCGGGUUGUGAACCUCUUUCGCCAGUGAGGCAGGCCUGCCUCGUUUGUGGGUGGGUUGACGGUAGCUGGAGAAGAAGCGCCGGCUAACUACGUG